This 1248-nucleotide long non-coding RNA is filed under the name Felis catus (domestic cat). Its description in RNAcentral is "lncRNA (ENSFCAG00000053831.1)". The record is from RNAcentral. Lineage: Eukaryota; Metazoa; Chordata; Mammalia; Carnivora; Felidae.
CCUCCAGAGAGAACCAGGCCCUGCUACUCUCUCACGUCCUGGGGGCAGCCUUGGCCCCAGGUGCCCCUCCGCUGGCACAGUCCCAGGCACCUGCUCAGGUGCCCCUCCGCUGGCACAGUCCCAGGCACCUGCUCAGGUGCCCCUCCCCUGGCACAGUCCCAGGCACCUGGCCCUAGCACCGGAGAGCAGCAGCCCGCUCGUCAUCGGUACUCCCACCCCAGCUUCACGUCCCCUCCUCCUCUCUCCAUUCAGCACCUGUACCCUGUGAGAGGGGACCCCAGGUCGCCUCGCGCCCCGCCCCUCAGGGCUUGCCCCCUCGGCGUCCACUCACCCCAGCCGGGCUCGGCGCUCCCGGGCUCCGGCAGAGCUGCACGCGCGGCUCGCCAGCCCUCCCCCUCAGGCCCUCUGCGCUCCCUCCGUCCUCCCCCCCCCACACCCGGCGCCACCAACCUGUUACUCCCCUCCGGAGCUCCACCCCCAUUGGCCGUCACCACCCGCCCCGCCUUUCCCUUCCUCUGGUUGGUCCUUUUCCCGCGGGGGGCGGGGCCGUUCGCCCCAGGCACCCGGACCGGGGGUCGCGGGCCGGGGUGGGCGCGCCGGGUCACGUGGGCCGGCGGGCUGGUUGGGAGGCGGUGUACGGGAGGCCAUUUUGGGGGCGUCGCGGUCGGUGCGGCUGGGCCCCAAGAGGGAGCCGCGCGCCGGAGCAUCUUCUGGCCUCGGUGGGAGGCAGCCUUUCCCCGCGCCCUGCUCCGCGGGGCCCCAGUCUGCACCGCUGUGUGCCCUCACCUGUGUCCGCACCGACCGGAUUGCGCCGCUGCCUCUUUUCACAGGGUGUCUCCCCGCUCCGCCAGCGUCCCGCGACCUCAGCUCGUGUCGCAGCCUGAGCCGCGGCCCCCCUCUCCUGGCCUCCACAAAUCAUUGUCCAGCCUGGAACCUCUCUCUCCGAAGGAGAGACUUGGUUAUAUUUUGAGAAUAAGCCAGAAGAGCUAGCAAGAUUCAAGAAAUAAGGGAGAGUGUGUGUGAGUUAGCAAAGCCUGGACCUAGAGGAAAAGGAAAAGUCUGUGGAACUUAAAUUGGAAGAUCAGGUAAGGAGUGGGGAGUUGAAGAUCACUUUAGUUCACCAUGUCGUUUGACCUGCCAGAGAAAAGGGUGAUUUUAAGAGCUGGAGACUUUGUAAACCCGUUUUAGAACUGUUCUACAGGAGAAUACAAUAAGUGCCAAAUAAAUGGUUCAAAUGAAGUGCUACCA